Camelus ferus (Wild Bactrian camel) is the source of this 72-nucleotide transfer RNA. It matches the Rfam family "tRNA". Rfam says of the family: Transfer RNA (tRNA) molecules are approximately 80 nucleotides in length. Their secondary structure includes four short double-helical elements and three loops (D, anti-codon, and T loops). Further hydrogen bonds mediate the characteristic L-shaped molecular structure. tRNAs have two regions of fundamental functional importance: the anti-codon, which is responsible for specific mRNA codon recognition, and the 3' end, to which the tRNAs corresponding amino acid is attached (by aminoacyl-tRNA synthetases). tRNAs cope with the degeneracy of the genetic code in two manners: having more than one tRNA (with a specific anti-codon) for a particular amino acid; and 'wobble' base-pairing, i.e. permitting non-standard base-pairing at the 3rd anti-codon position. Lineage: Eukaryota; Metazoa; Chordata; Mammalia; Artiodactyla; Camelidae. The record is from Rfam.
GAGAGUGUAGCUCAGUAGUAGAGCACGUGCUUACCAUGCAGGAAGUCCUGGGUUCAGUCCCCAGUACCUCCA